UCAUGAUAUUUAAAUUGUUUACAGUGAUUAAGACAUUAAAUGAUUGAUUUCAAUAGCAGAAUGGAAUUAAGAGUAAUAAUAAAAUAAUCAAAAGGUGAAUAUAUAACUACAAUGUAUCACGCCGCUUCAUGACUUCAGUGUGGCCUCGCUUUUCUCCUGAACACAUAUUCGUUAUAAAAUAGAAACGAAAUUCAACUGAAAUCAAGAACUGAGAAAACGAGUUAAUGUAAAGCAUGCAAACCAUUCAACUGAACCUGGUCUGAAAGAUUUCGGUUCUCAGUUGAUUGGGUGCUUCAUUCGUGGCAACAAACUUCGUCAACAAUUUGCUUCUAGUUUAUAUUUGUUAUAUUCCAGAUAUUUGUUUAAAGGAAUGCUAGAUACAAGUUCUUACGCAUUGCUGAAACAGCAUCUUUUGAUUUCUCGAACAUAUUACAUUUCAAUUUUUGUUUAAUGGUUUUAAAAUAAAUAGAUGUCGAAGUUGGAUAGGUCCUGGUACCGAGACCUGUUUCACUUUAUAGUGCCUAUAUUUUGAGCCCGGGCUUCCAGCCGACAUGAAAAGCUACGGUACUUCUGAAAAGCAGUAGUUAAGCUCUUUCAUCUGAUAUCCCACAUGAUUAUCUAUCAAGACCUUGAAGUGUGUUAGAGCAUUUCAUUCAAAACUGUAAUGGUACAUUCAGGUCAUAUCACUAAUUGCAUGUAAAGUGAUUCCCCGACUGUCCGUUUUCUUCAAAGUUCAUGAAAAUAGAUUCAGCCAUUCUGGCUGACCGGCAUCUUUUUUCUAGAAUACUGAACUGGAUUUGAUAUGUUAUAUCCUGGGACAUCGAAUGCACUUGAUGGGUUGGAAGUUGCAGAGCAGUAGAAGUGGAGAAACGUUCGGAUGAAUAAAUAACUGAAUAUUGUGUGGAACUUUCGCAUGCUCUCUAUAGCAACGAAUUUGCCCGAGGAGACUAUAAUUUAAAAAUGUGAUAAAACGGUUAUAAUGAUGCUACUUUAUCAACAUCAAUUACAACUAACGAUCUACGACCAAAGCCACCUGACCUACUCACAACUUCUAACAAUUUAGCUGUAAAUAAAAAUGGAGUGGCAGCCAGAAGUGAUAACUCAAGCCUGAAUAACUGUGACUGUAAAAAUGUCAUCCAAUGUUGUUCUUUGCCAGUAAAACUUGUCACAUGACUUUUUUCAGGUUUUUCGGUUAG
This is a long non-coding RNA of Hermetia illucens (black soldier fly), 1196 nucleotides long. RefSeq lists it as uncharacterized. The transcript has 3 exons. NCBI's taxonomy places the organism in Eukaryota, Metazoa, Arthropoda, Insecta, Diptera, Stratiomyidae. The record is from RefSeq and is a predicted model, not a curated record.